CUCAAAUCUGAAACUGUCGUAGUUUUUCAAACGGUUUCAUGUUGUUUAACACGUUAAACAAGCAAGCACAACACUCUGAUAAUAGUUUUUGAACGUUUUCGUGAUCGAAGAAGUUGUAAAUACGGGGUGAGGUUUUGUCUACUGGCCUUGGCAGUUUCGAGUUUUGAAAAUUUUUAACUAUAGAAACUGUAAAAACUAUUUCUAUCUAACCCGGAAUAUAACAUUUGACGCUCAUACGUACCAUGUAUUAUAAAUUUGUUAUGACGAAACCAAAAAAUAAAACAGAAGGUCCCUUU
Molecule: long non-coding RNA, 296 nt
Filed under: Capsella grandiflora
Lineage: Eukaryota; Viridiplantae; Streptophyta; Magnoliopsida; Brassicales; Brassicaceae
Description: long non-coding RNA (CGRA_LNC000661)
Source: RNAcentral